Molecule: ribosomal RNA, 463 nt
Filed under: Salmonella enterica subsp. enterica serovar Kentucky
Lineage: Bacteria; Pseudomonadati; Pseudomonadota; Gammaproteobacteria; Enterobacterales; Enterobacteriaceae
Description: partial 23S ribosomal RNA
Rfam family: Bacterial large subunit ribosomal RNA
Source: RNAcentral
GAAUGCUGACAUAAGUAACGAUAAAGCGGGUGAAAAGCCCGCUCGCCGGAAGACCAAGGGUUCCUGUCCAACGUUAAUCGGGGCAGGGUGAGUCGACCCCUAAGGCGAGGCCGAAAGGCGUAGUCGAUGGGAAACGGGUUAAUAUUCCCGUACUUGGUGUUACUGCGAAGGGGGGACGGAGAAGGCUAUGUUGGCCGGGCGACGGUUGUCCCGGUUUAAGCGUGUAGGCUGGUUUUCCAGGCAAAUCCGGAAAAUCAAGGCUGAGGCGUGAUGACGAGGCACUACGGUGCUGAAGCAACAAAUGCCCUGCUUCCAGGAAAAGCCUCUAAGCAUCAGGUAACAUCAAAUCGUACCCCAAACCGACACAGGUGGUCAGGUAGAGAAUACCAAGGCGCUUGAGAGAACUCGGGUGAAGGAACUAGGCAAAAUGGUGCCGUAACUUCGGGAGAAGGCACGCUGACAC